RNAcentral lists this ribosomal RNA (263 nucleotides) under uncultured bacterium. RNAcentral's name for it is "partial 16S ribosomal RNA". It matches the Rfam family "Bacterial small subunit ribosomal RNA", at positions 793 to 1055 of the family's 1533-position model. The record is from RNAcentral.
GUCCACGCCCUAAACGAUGUCGACUAGGUGUUGGGAAGGAGACUUCCUUAGUACCGCAGCUAACGCGUGAAGUCGACCGCCUGGGGAGUACGGUCGCAAGAUUAAAACUCAAAGGAAUUGACGGGACCCGCACAAGCGGUGGAUGAUGUGGAUUAAUUCGAUGCAACGCGAAAACCUUACCUACCCUUGACAUGCCAGGAAGUCUGCUGAGAGGUGGAUGUGCCCGAAAGGGAACCUGGACACAGGUGCUGCAUGGCUGUCGU